CUGAAGUCUAAAGAUACCAAUUGGAAUACAUUAUCCACAGUUACCAGCUGUGGAAUUUUGAGCAUAAGUAAGUUACUAAUCUCUUAGUCUUACUUGCUCAUCUGUUGCCAAGAGCUGGAAGAAGAUGGCCUCUGCAGGGUCACCUUCCAAGUCCCUCAGGAAGGCAACUAACGGGAGGAACUUAAUGUGCAUCCAGAGACCAAGAUGGCGGGAGUGUGGGAAACGUGGCUUUUAGCAUGCCAGCACCUUCCAAAGGGAAGAUAGGUGGAAUGGAGGUGAAGGGACCGAUGCAAAGUGCUAAACACAAGUUUAAAAUUUGGACUAUGGCUGUUUACAAGGAAGAAUCAAUGUCUUCACACAGGGAGAUCUUUAAAGGCUUUAUUAAAAUGCAGAGAAGGCUUUCCAACAAGGAUGCGAGGGCAGAUGGAAGUGAGAGGCCUUCAUAACGAGAUUAAGCAGAUGGGAAAGUUUACGACUAAUGAGAAGGGCAAAAGGACGCUAAAAGUGAUCAUUUUCUUGAAAUUAUAGUGAGGAGAAGGAUCUGUGCUUUACGUCUUGGGAACCUCCUCUGGUCAUGAACUCAGAAUGGGAAUUUUUUCCAGUAUUCUCUGGGGUAGCUGCUUUCAGAAAGAGGCGGAAAGGCAUGACACUACUUUAAGGUGUUCUAACAGUCUAUCAGAGUCUGCGAUUCAGCCACUUAGAACUUUCAAGACAGUGUGUUGAAGGUAUGGAUGGGACUGAGGAAGAAUACAAUGGGAUAAAUUCUGUGAAUUUCAAGGCUAAUUAAUCUCAAGAAGUUUAUCAUUGAUGACAGCUGCUACGGCUUGAUCCUGCUCUUGCAAGUUUGCCAGGAAAGCCCCUGUCUCAAGAAUAUCAAGGAGCGGGGGCUUCCCAGACCUCAACUCCUCCGACUCCCGGGCUUGAACCCGCCUCAAACAGGAAGACGAGACAACGGUGAAGGACGCACACCUGCCAUCCUCCUAUCUCACCAUGCG
This 995-nucleotide long non-coding RNA is filed under the name Equus caballus (horse). RNAcentral's name for it is "lncRNA (ENSECAG00000042664.2)". Lineage: Eukaryota; Metazoa; Chordata; Mammalia; Perissodactyla; Equidae. The record is from RNAcentral.